RNAcentral lists this long non-coding RNA (993 nucleotides) under Nicotiana tabacum (common tobacco). Its description in RNAcentral is "long non-coding RNA (NTAB_LNC014775)". The record is from RNAcentral. Lineage: Eukaryota; Viridiplantae; Streptophyta; Magnoliopsida; Solanales; Solanaceae.
UUCAAAACACAUUGACCGUAAAACUGACUGCACCAGAAGUUCUGAAUAAGGGAAUUCAUUUGACUCAUGGGGAAGGUAUUAAGCAUUCCCCAAGUCCCGUAACUAGUACGGUUGCACACUUGAUCAAAUUGGAUAUUAAGAAUACUCAGAUCGAGAUAGAAACAUACAAAUAAAAAUAAAGACACAAGAGACUCGAGGUUGUCCCCACCUAAAUAAGAGAAAAUAAAAUAAGAGAAAAAUACUAAAAGUCUAUACCAAAGCUUCCACGAUGAUGUCGUCCUUUGCUUCUAUUUACAUAUAUUGCUGGGCAUUCCCCUAAAUAAAAUAAUAUUUACAAAAAAAAAAAGCUCUUCAGGGCAUUCCUCUGAGUAUAAACUAAAGAGAACAACCUCUCACCUUGAAUAAAAAUAAAAUAAAAGACCUAAGGUUUGCCUACCCAAGUAUGGUAGGCCUAAACAUGUUACUAUCGAUGAGAGAUGAAACAAGAAUAACAAAAUCUUUCUUAAACUUAUACUCUAUCUCAUUAUUGAUCAAGCCUCAGGUCCAAUUUUAAACUGACAACUGCACGACCAACUUGAUUAUUUAGGAUCCAAUUUUGCUUUAGUUCAUUAUACUGAAACCUAUAGCCCAUAAACUGAUAUCAACUAAAGAAAUUCAAUCGACAACUCAAACAAUUAUUAUCUUAUCAAUGUAAUCUAGCUAAAUCAGUGACAAAUCAUGGACAACUAAAUAAUAAUUAACAACAAAUAAUGGGAUCAAAGCAGAGUAUUUAAGAGAAGAAUGGACCUCAAGGUGCGACACCCUUUCAAUUACAGCAACGGUAGUACGAACAGGAGCCGGGAUCGGAAAAGCGAACCACGAUCGGAACCUCUGAUCGAAAUUGCUUCUGGUGAUCUCGAACUCGACUUUGGAGCUGCUGUUUUUGUGCGAAGAGGGAGCUGUUUUUUUUGUUCUUCGGCUGGGUUUGGAGCGGGUUUUGACUGGUUUUCGGAG